RNAcentral lists this long non-coding RNA (311 nucleotides) under Elaeis guineensis (African oil palm). RNAcentral's name for it is "long non-coding RNA (EGUI_LNC071634)". Lineage: Eukaryota; Viridiplantae; Streptophyta; Magnoliopsida; Arecales; Arecaceae. The record is from RNAcentral.
CACCACAUGCUCUGCAUUCCCGUCGUUCAAAGGGAUCGAAACCAGAUCUUCGAUUGGGCCGCCCCUCUUCUCAGUGAGGUCGUCGCGGGCAUCCAACCCAUCAACUGGACAGGGGUUGGAUUGGUCGCUUCUUUGCAAGGCUAUGUUGUAGCAGUGUCUGGCCAGGGCUUGGUCUCUUCUGACCUCUCCGAUCCCCUGGUUAGUAAAGAAUUUCAUCUUCAAAUGGUAGGUUGACACGAUGGCUCGGAGAGCAUUGAGGCCAGAUCGGUCGAGGAUCGCGUUGUAGGCUGACGGCGCCUUCACCACCAGAA